RNAcentral lists this ribosomal RNA (520 nucleotides) under Leptoxis ampla. RNAcentral's name for it is "partial 16S ribosomal RNA". It matches the Rfam family "Bacterial large subunit ribosomal RNA", at positions 1811 to 2605 of the family's 2925-position model. Lineage: Eukaryota; Metazoa; Mollusca; Gastropoda; Pleuroceridae. The record is from RNAcentral.
AAACAUGGCUCUUUGAAUUAUUUUUAUAAAGAGUCAGGCCUGCCCAGUGAAAUUUACUUUAACGGCCGCGGUACUCUGACCGUGCAAAGGUAGCAUAAUCAUUUGCCUUAUAAUUGAAGGCUAGUAUGAAUGGUUUAACGAGAGCAGCACUGUCUCUUUUUUAUUUCCAAGAACUUAACCUUUAGGUGAAGAGGCCUAAAUUUUAUUGAAGGACAAGAAGACCCUGUCGAGCUUAAAAGACACUAUAGAAGUUUAUAUAUACCUAAAUAAAUUUUCUGUUAAGCUUUUUAGUUGGGGCGACUAAGGAACAAAAAAAGCUUCUUAAGCAAAACAAACAUUCAAGUUUUGAUCCGGUGAUAGCCGAUUUAAGGAAUUAGUUACCGCAGGGAUAACAGCAUAAUCUCUCUUGAGAGACCUAAUCGAAAGAGGGGGUUGUGACCUCGAUGUUGGACUAGAAUAUCCUAAAGAUGUAGAAGUCUUUAAGGGUCGGUCUGUUCGACCGUUAAAAUUUUACGUGAUC